Non-coding RNA from Vigna radiata var. radiata (mung bean), 105 nucleotides. Lineage: Eukaryota; Viridiplantae; Streptophyta; Magnoliopsida; Fabales; Fabaceae. The record is from Rfam.
UGGCUGUAGCUAAAUCGAACCUGCUUGUGAAGCUAACUGGCCGGUUGUUGUGAUCUCUUUUUGGGAUCUCUGUCAAUAAAUCUGCUUACCGAGCUUCUAACAAUC